GACGAACGCUGGCGGCGUGCUUAACACAUGCAAGUCGAACGGGUCUGCCCUGUUUUUUGCGGGGUGGGUCAGUGGCGAACGGGUGAGUAACACGUGAGUAACCUGCCCCUCACUUCUGGAUAACCGCUUGAAAGGGUGGCUAAUACGGGGUGUUCUGGCUGUGCCGCAUGGUGUGGCUGGGAAAGAUUCACUUUUGUGGUGUUUUGGUGGGGGAUGGGCUCGCGGCCUAUCAGCUUGUUGGUGGGGUGAUGGCCUGCCAAGGCUUUGACGGGUAGCCGGCCUGAGAGGGUGGGCGGUCACACGGGGACUGAGAUACGGCCCAGACUCCUGCGGGAGGCAGCAGUGGGGGGUAUUGCACAAUGGGCGGAAGCCUGAUGCAGCGACGUCGCGUGAGGGAUGGAGGCCUGCGGGUUGUGAACCUCUUUCGCCGGUGAAGAAGGUCCUGCUCUUUGUGGUGGGGUUGACGGUAGCCGGGUUAUGAAGCGCCGGCUAACUACGUG
This 500-nucleotide ribosomal RNA is filed under the name uncultured bacterium. Its description in RNAcentral is "partial 16S ribosomal RNA". It matches the Rfam family "Bacterial small subunit ribosomal RNA", at positions 28 to 507 of the family's 1533-position model. The record is from RNAcentral.